ACCCUUUUAGUAUAAAAAGUAUAUUUAACUUCCAAUUAAAAGGUCUAAAAUUUAGAAAGGGUA
This 63-nucleotide transfer RNA is filed under the name Inara alboguttata. Its description in RNAcentral is "tRNA-Gly". Lineage: Eukaryota; Metazoa; Arthropoda; Insecta; Hemiptera; Reduviidae. The record is from RNAcentral.